UAUGAGCCGGCGUCAGGUGACGAAAAAGCCGUCAUGCUUGCAUGUAAGGCUCUUUCGUCAUUUGACGCUGCAACAGUAAUGAGGAAAACAGCACUGCGACAGCGGUGCGAUUUCCGAAUGAAUGUCAGGGCUUGCGGGAGUGCGUAGCACGGAGCAAGACUGGAAGCUCAUA
RNAcentral lists this small RNA (172 nucleotides) under Firmicutes bacterium CAG:882. RNAcentral's name for it is "Clostridiales-1 RNA". It matches the Rfam family "Clostridiales-1 RNA". Lineage: Bacteria; Bacillati; Bacillota. The record is from Rfam by way of RNAcentral.